UACAGAGGGUGCAAGCGUUGUUCGGAAUUAUUGGGCGUAAAGCGCGUGUAGGCGGCUUUGCAAGUCGGGUGUGAAAGCCCUCAGCUUAACUGAGGAAGUGCGCCCGAAACUGCAGAGCUUGAAUACCGGAGAGGAUGGCGGAAUUCCCCAAGUAGAGGUGAAAUUCGUAGAUAUGGGGAGGAACACCGGUGGCGAAGGCGGCCAUCUGGACGGCUAUUGACGCUGAGACGCGAAAGCGUGGGGGAGCAAACAGG
Molecule: ribosomal RNA, 254 nt
Filed under: uncultured bacterium
Lineage: Bacteria
Description: partial 16S ribosomal RNA
Rfam family: Bacterial small subunit ribosomal RNA
Source: RNAcentral